UUCUUCAUAUUCCACCCCUACUUUCAUCUUCCAUGCCCUACCUAUUGCAAAUUUACACCACAUUGUAUGCAUACUGGAACUAAAGGUUUGUGCCAAAAAUUUCGAAGUCAUUCAACUUCUUUCCCGGUAUGUAGAGUGAUAAACUCAUAGUACACGAGCCACACAUUUCUGUUUUAAAAAUUUUCCAAGAGCUUACUUCUCCACCAAGAGUAAACACAUACCCGCUCGUGAAUUUUAUUUCAUUUGACCAGAUUCACUUUGAACCCAAAUGUUUAUUUCUUGGAGGAAGAUCAACCAACUCUGAAGUGUGGUUGCUCAAAAUUGAAUCUAUCCUACUAUUGAAAACCUCUUUCCAAAAAGAAUGAGUCUAUACAUGACAAUUCUUUUUUGACAAUAUGAACUCAUUUUCAAGUAGAAAUGUUACAAAAUCAAAUCUAGAGGAAGUAAUUUGUCCAUUGACAUUUAAUACGCCUUUGAAUCUCUUUAA
This is a long non-coding RNA of Solanum lycopersicum (tomato), 487 nucleotides long. RefSeq lists it as uncharacterized. The record is from RefSeq and is a predicted model, not a curated record. NCBI's taxonomy places the organism in Eukaryota, Viridiplantae, Streptophyta, Magnoliopsida, Solanales, Solanaceae.